Molecule: ribosomal RNA, 447 nt
Filed under: uncultured bacterium
Lineage: Bacteria
Description: bacterial SSU rRNA
Rfam family: Bacterial small subunit ribosomal RNA
Source: RNAcentral
GCCAGACUCCUACGGGAGGCAGCAGUGGGGAAUAUUGCACAAUGGGGGAAACCCUGAUGCAGCAACGCCGCGUGAGUGAAGAAGUAUUUCGGUAUGUAAAGCUCUAUCAGCAGGGAAGAAAAUGACGGUACCUGAGUAAGAAGCCCCGGCUAACUACGUGCCAGCAGCCGCGGUAAUACGUAGGGGGCAAGCGUUAUCCGGAUUUACUGGGUGUAAAGGGAGCGUAGACGGCGAUACAAGUCUGAAGUGAAAGCCCGGGGCUCAACCCCGGGACUGCUUUGGAAACUGUGUUGCUGGAGUGCUGGAGAGGCAAGCGGAAUUCCUAGUGUAGCGGUGAAAUGCGUAGAUAUUAGGAGGAACACCGGUGGCGAAGGCGGCUCACUGGACUGUAACUGACGUUGAGGCUCGAAAGCGUGGGGAGCAAACAGGAUUAGAUACCCCAGUAAG